AGGGUGAGGAAGAACGUGUCAGUUUGUGAAGUGUCAGAAAGUGUCUCUGUUUGAUGUUUAUGCUGUUUGUCUCUGAGAGAAUGAAGUUCUGCUCUAGAUGAGUUCAGAUCAAACCCUGUCAUCUCCUGCAUUCCCAGCAUUCCCGGCUUUCCUCGGACUCUGAGGGUUUAGAUGUGUGUAAGAAGAGAUGAGAAUGAUCAGAAUCAUCAUGAUUGGUUAACUGUUUCCUUUGACCACUUUCAGAUUCUCAGAGCCAUUGGGAAGGGAAGCUUUGGAAAAGUGUGUAUUGUGCAGAAGAGAGACUCCAGGAAGAUGUAUGCCAUGAAAUACAUGAACAAACAGAAAUGCAUUGAAAGAGAUGAAGUCAGAAACGUCCUCCGAGAGCUGCAGGUCAUGCAACAACUCCAACAUCCGUUCCUCAUCAA
Carassius gibelio (silver crucian carp) is the source of this 425-nucleotide long non-coding RNA. RefSeq lists it as uncharacterized. NCBI's taxonomy places the organism in Eukaryota, Metazoa, Chordata, Actinopteri, Cypriniformes, Cyprinidae. The transcript is spliced from 3 exons. The record is from RefSeq and is a predicted model, not a curated record.